UCAAAGAUUCGAACCUGCAGCAGGUUCGAGUUGAGCGCAGCGAAACAACGGAGCAGCUCGCGGCGACGGCCCGAAGGGCGAGCGAAGCGAGUCAUCCUGCACGACCCACCA
RNAcentral lists this small RNA (111 nucleotides) under Escherichia coli. RNAcentral describes it as "partial RtT sRNA". It matches the Rfam family "RtT RNA", at positions 16 to 130 of the family's 130-position model. From Rfam's summary of the family: This family represents a bacterial cis-regulatory element known as RtT RNA. The exact function of RtT is unknown although it is thought that it may be involved in changing the cellular response in relation to amino acid starvation. Lineage: Bacteria; Pseudomonadati; Pseudomonadota; Gammaproteobacteria; Enterobacterales; Enterobacteriaceae. The record is from RNAcentral.